AAUGAACGCUGGCGGCAGGCCUAACACAUGCAAGUCGAACGGAUCCUUCGGGAUUAGUGGCGGACGGGUGAGUAACGCGUGGGAACAUAGCCUUUGGUACGGAAUAGCCUCGGGAAACUGGGAGUAAUACCGUAUGUGGUUGAGAGAUGAAAGAUUUAUCGCCAAAGGAUUGGCCCGCGUUGGAUUAGGUAGUUGGUGGGGUAAUGGCCUACCAAGCCGACGAUCCAUAGCUGGUUUGAGAGGAUGAUCAGCCACACUGGGACUGAGACACGGCCCAGACUCCUACGGGAGGCAGCAGUGGGGAAUCUUAGACAAUGGGGGAAACCCUGAUCUAGCCAUGCCGCGUGAUCGAUGAAGGCCUUAGGGUUGUAAAGAUCUUUCAGGUGGGAAGAUAAUGACUGUACCACCAGAAGAAGCCCCGGCUAACUCCGUGCCAGCCGCCGCGGUAA
This 449-nucleotide ribosomal RNA is filed under the name uncultured bacterium. Its description in RNAcentral is "partial 16S ribosomal RNA". It matches the Rfam family "Bacterial small subunit ribosomal RNA", at positions 29 to 523 of the family's 1533-position model. The record is from RNAcentral.